This 1489-nucleotide long non-coding RNA is filed under the name Solanum tuberosum (potato). RNAcentral's name for it is "long non-coding RNA (STUB_LNC006938)". Lineage: Eukaryota; Viridiplantae; Streptophyta; Magnoliopsida; Solanales; Solanaceae. The record is from RNAcentral.
UCAUAUUAUUUAGCAACCAAAUCAAGUAAUAAUAUGCAUAAAUCCUAUAUAAUUGUAUUUUUUUUUUCUUCUUCCAAAAGAUAAUACUAAAAUACAAUUAAUUCCAAAUUUUCUACAACAAAAAUAACAUAAAAAAAAACCAAAAUUAAUUGUAGAAAAAUAAAAUGAAAAUCAAGAUCAAAAUGAUAUACAAAAGUACCAUUUUCAGAGAGAAAAGAUUGAGCCGUCCCCGCCAAUAUCACCACUGUCCACCGCCGCAAAUCACCACCGUCCACCGCCGUCAAUCCACCGGAAAAUCAAGAACUGAUGAAAACACUGCCGGAAAAAUCCAUUUCAAGCAGAAAAAAUCCAACUUUGAAAUCCACAAAGUAAAUACUUUCUGCAUUUGCAUUUCUGACAUCUUCUUGAAAUCUACAGAACCAAAAUCAACAAGAACCUUCAUUGCACACCAACUGUUUGAUAAUUUUCCACCAAAUUUUUUUCAGCACCAAAAUAAGUCCUACAAAAAAAAAAGAUGAGAUUUUUAAAGAAUCCCAUUUACAAAAAAAAUAAAAAGGUGUUUGAUUUUGUCUUUUUGGUGCAUUUUUUGGGGUGUCACAUGAACCAAGAAAGGUGAAAAACAUGGGGCUGAUAAAUGGGUGUGUAGGUACUAUCAUUACUGUGAUACGUUGCUCAGACUCUUCAAAAAUAUUAUUAGAAAAGUGUCUAAUCCUUCAAAAGUAGGGUGCGAUAACAUUUUUGAAAAGUUCGAACAAUUUAUAUAAUACUACUAUAUGUCAUAUUGUUUUAUUUUCUAACUAAUUCAGAUUCAUGUUGAUAAAAAGAUUAUAGCUUUAGCACUUCCUACUAAAUAAAAAGGUCAAUUAUGAGAGUUUUAGUACUCCUUACCAAAGAACAUCUCAUGAUUCGAACUCGAGACUUCUCCAUUACCAUUCCACUACACACCAUUACAUGAAACACUUAGUGGCUCCUACCCCCCAAAAAAAAAAAAGUUCCAUCUCAAGAUUCAAAUCCGAGACUUUACGUCAAGAAUGAAGAGAUCUUUACUUCAUUUCAAGAUUUGAACUCCAGACUUUUUAUCAAGAAUGAAGAGACCUUUACCCUUCCUCAACACCCUUUUAGUGAAACUUCUUUGUUUGUUUUGUUUUCUUCACAACCUUUAUGAUAAAAAGAGGAUGUUUGAUGAGCAAAGUUGUCCUAUCCUUAAAAUCAUGUGUUGGUAGUACUUACUACUAAGUCUAUGAGGGAAUUAGGUGUGAUAGGAAGAGAGAAAGAAGAGGGGAAAAAGAAGGUUAAGGAGACAAUUUAAGGACAUUGAAAGAGAAAUCCUUUGUGCCUUGUAAGUUUGUAUAUGUCUAUUCCCAACACAGUGUGACCAUCUGUCUUAUUAAACAAACAUAAUGAAGCCAAUAGUGUUAGCUUUGUGUUAUGUUAUUUGGGCAUGGGCUUGACAUUGAUUGACACUAAUAAAACCCCACACCUCUUUAGU